GGAGUCAGACUGCCGAGACAGUUGGGCGUAAAAAGGGAAAGAGCCCAGACCGCCAGCCAAGGUCCCAAAGUGUGUGGUUAGUGGAAAAGGAUGUGGGAUCUCCAAGACAACUAGGAUGUUGGCUCAGAAGCAGCCACACAUUCAAAGAGUGCGUAACAGCUCACUAGUCGAGAGGUCCUGCGCCGAANAUGUCCGGGGCUGAAACACAACACCGAAGCUGCGGAAUCACGCAAGUGAUUGGUAGAGGAGCAUUCUUAAUACCGACGAAGCUGUACCGGAAGGAGCAGUGGAGGGAUAAGAAGAGAGAAUGCCGGAAUGAGUAGCGAGAGAGAGGUGGGAAUCCUCUCGGCCGAAUAUCCAAGGUUUCCAGAGUAAAGCUGAUCUGCUCUGGGUAAGUCGGGGCCUAAGGCGAGGUCAAGAGACGUAGCCGAUGGACAACAGGUUUAGAUUCCUGUACCGCAUAUAAACAGAACUGUGGGGACGCAUGGGGAGAGCAUGGGCCGGGAAUGGAAAUACCGGUGCAAGCGAAGGAGGUGUGCAGCCGGCAAAUCCGCUGCAUGAGCCGAAAGCGUGACGCGGAGCGAAAUGAAAGUAGCGAAGCAUGUGAGCCCUGUGCCGAGAAAAGCCGCUAUUGUUUUAUAUGUGCCCGUACCGUAAACCGACACAGGUGGAUGAGGAGAGAAUCCUAAGGCCGGCGGAAGAAGUAUUGUUAAGGAACUCGGCAAAAUGACCCCGUAACUUCGGGAGAAGGGGUGCCCACGGGAGUGGGCCGCAGAGAAUAGGCUCAAGCAACUGUUUAGCAAAAACACAGGUCUAUGCGAAACCGAAAGGUGAAGUAUAUGGGCUGACGCCUGCCCGGUGCUGGAAGGUUAAGAGGAGAGGUCAGCGCAAGCGAAGCUUUGAAUUUAAGCCCCAGUAAACGGCGGCCGUAACUAUAACGGUCCUAAGGUAGCGAAAUUCCUUGUCGGGUAAGUUCCGACCCGCACGAAAGGCGUAAUGAUUUGAGCACUGUCUCGACAAUAUAUCCGGUGAAAUUGAAGUACCAGUGAAGAUGCUGGUUACCCGCGCCAGGACGGAAAGACCCCAUGGAGCUUUACUCCAGUUUGGUACUGGGAUUCGGUACUGCACGUACAGGAUAGGUGGGAGACUUUGAAACUUGAACGCCAGUUUGAGUGGAGUCGCUGUUGGGAUACCACCCCUGCAGUAUUGGGUUUCUAACCAGUCACCGUGACCCGGUGAUGGGACAAUGCCAGGCGGGGAGUUUGACUGGGGCGGUCGCCUCCGAAAGGGUAUCGGAGGCGCUCAAAGGUUCCCUCAGAAUGGUUUAACACCAUUUGAAGAGUGCAAAGGCAGAAGGGAG
This 1360-nucleotide ribosomal RNA is filed under the name human gut metagenome. RNAcentral describes it as "bacterial LSU rRNA". It matches the Rfam family "Bacterial large subunit ribosomal RNA", at positions 980 to 2367 of the family's 2925-position model. The record is from RNAcentral.